AGCCAACUGCAUCUGGAAAUCAUUGAGAAAGAAGAAAAUUAAAAUUGUCAUUUUUCUUUCACCAAACCUGUAGGUGCCGACUCCGUGGGUACUCCAGGGGCAGGGAAAAAUAGUGCGUUCACCACCCACCAGUCACCCCCCAGUCAGCUGUUUGUUCAUCCUGCAGAGUCUCUGAAAGAAGAAGAAAGUCAGUUAGUGCCGAUGCUGAUAUACCAGUGAGGAUCAGUAAGGAAACUUUAUUCAGAAGAAUACUGCCACUUCAACAGGACUGCUCCUGUGGGUUGUUGAGCCCCGGAGCACCCACGGAGCCAGUGUCUAUGCCUACACUGACAUUCCCCACGUUGAUAAUUCCAGAUAAGACAGUCCCCUCGUUCCUUACAUUUUACAAGAGCUGCGGGCCAGAUACCCAUCCUGUGUGUAUAUCAGCACAGGUGACUUCAAUGGAUCUGUGUUUAUUUUCAACCAGCUGAGGAUUUGGCCCCAUGGAUGAAAUGUGUUGUGCAGAGAGCCCAACACAAGAUACCACUGCUUCAGUGGAGGGUUGUGGUUUGGGCAAAAUGUCAUUGAGGAGCUAGGGAGAGAAUGUCAGAUACCUGCAGAAAACACUUAAGCUUGUUUAUUGCAGCCCCCACCUAAAACAUAGGGAUAUGCAAGUUUGCCCAGGAAUUAGAACUAUAUGGGCUGGUUACUGGGUGAGGGUGUGUGCGUGAAUCACACCGGAACAGGCUGGAAGAGACGCUACAGAUACACCCUGGACAAUCACGAUGUGGUACGUGCUAGAAGAGGCUUGGACAUAUGAGUAAAGAUACGAUCUUCUAUUGUUUGGAUCCUCCUGUGUUCAGGACUUGUAAAUGAACUAGAUUGCAUGAAAGGUCUCUGAUUCCACCCCCAAUUUCUCCUCCCAGCUGGAACGACCCACAAAGCCACAAAUGUUUUAGCUAGCUGCUUGGGCUAAAAGAAAUAACAUGGAGCGGUGGGGAUGAAUUCCCCCAUGGUGCACUCUCUUUUGUGUACCAAUCCCAAUAGCUUUGAAUGCAGCCAUCAUUCAGAAGUAGAGCUGGCUGGACAUUUUUCAAAUCAAAAUUCCCAUCCACGCCCCACACCCGGCCAUUCAGUUUUAUUUAUGUAUGUAUUUUGUGGGAGGAAAUGGCCACCAUUAUUGAGGUGUCUUAUUUUUGUGAUGCUGAUGGGUAAAGGCCUUCUCCUUCCAUGUCCAAGAGCUCAUGGCCCCAGCCUUACCUUGAG
Molecule: long non-coding RNA, 1245 nt
Organism: Chelonia mydas (Green sea turtle)
Lineage: Eukaryota; Metazoa; Chordata; Testudines; Cheloniidae
Exons: 3
Source: RefSeq, a predicted model, not a curated record